AAGGAUCAUUAACAAGCCGUGAAGGUCACCUUGAAAAAGGACUGAUCUCUCACCUGGCCACCCUUGUUUACCUUAACCUGUUGCUUUGGUGGGCCCGCCGUGAGGCCGCCGGGGAAUCUGGGUUCCCGGGCCUGUGUCCACCAAAGUCCUACUGAACUCUUCAAUGUUUUUUCGGCUGUCUGAGCGUGAAAGCGCAAUCUUUUAAAACUUUCAACAACGGAUCUCUUGGUUCUG
RNAcentral lists this unclassified non-coding RNA (234 nucleotides) under uncultured fungus. RNAcentral's name for it is "partial contains 18S rRNA, ITS1, 5.8S rRNA, ITS2 and 28S rRNA". Lineage: Eukaryota; Fungi. The record is from RNAcentral.